Molecule: ribosomal RNA, 253 nt
Filed under: uncultured bacterium
Lineage: Bacteria
Description: partial 16S ribosomal RNA
Rfam family: Bacterial small subunit ribosomal RNA
Source: RNAcentral
UACGUAGGGGGCAAGCGUUGUCCGGAAUUAUUGGGCGUAAAGCGCGCGCAGGCGGUCCUUUAAGUCUGAUGUGAAAGCCCACGGCUCAACCGUGGAGGGUCAUUGGAAACUGGGGGACUUGAGUGCAGAAGAGGAAAGUGGAAUUCCAAGUGUAGCGGUGAAAUGCGUAGAGAUUUGGAGGAACACCAGUGGCGAAGGCGACUUUCUGGUCUGUAACUGACGCUGAGGCGCGAAAGCGUGGGGAGCAAACAGG